RNAcentral lists this ribosomal RNA (255 nucleotides) under uncultured bacterium. Its description in RNAcentral is "partial 16S ribosomal RNA". It matches the Rfam family "Bacterial small subunit ribosomal RNA", at positions 524 to 776 of the family's 1533-position model. The record is from RNAcentral.
GACAUAGGUCGCAAACGUUAUCCGGAAUUAUUGGGCGUAAAGGAUGCGUAGAUGGUUCAGUAAGUUACUGGUGGGAAAUCGAGGCCCAACCUCGUGGAAGUUAGUAAUACUGUUGAACUUGAGUGCAGGAGAGGUUAACGGAACUUCAUGUGGAGCGGUAAAAUGCGUAGAUAUAUGAAAGAACAUCAAUAUGGCGAAGGCAGUUAACUAUUCUGCUACUGACAUUGAGGCAUGAAAGCGUGGGGAGCAAACAGG